Molecule: ribosomal RNA, 1423 nt
Filed under: Alsodes nodosus (black spiny-chest frog)
Lineage: Eukaryota; Metazoa; Chordata; Amphibia; Anura; Alsodidae
Description: partial 16S ribosomal RNA
Rfam family: Bacterial large subunit ribosomal RNA
Source: RNAcentral
GCUAAAAUUCUAGCCCCAUCUUCCCUAAUGAAACUACAAAAUUUUAAUUUUUUAGAUUAAAACAUUCUAACAGUCCAGUAAAGGCGAUUGAAAAACUAACCGGAGCAAUAUAUACAGUACCGCAAGGGAAAAAUGAAAUAUAGUGAAAUAUCUUUAAGCACAAAAAAGUAGAGACUUUCCCUCGUACCUUUUGCAUCAUGGUUUAACUAGUCCAACCAAGCAAAAAGACUUUUAGUUUGACCUCCCGAAACUAAGCGAGCUACUUCAAGGCAGCUUAUUGAGCCAACCCGUCCCUGUUGCAAAAGAGUGGGAAGACCUUCAAGUAGAGGUGACAGACCUAACGAGCUUAGUGAUAGCUGGUUACUCAAGAAAAAGAUUUAGUCUAACCUAAAAUCUACUUAUUAAUAAAAAAUAAAAAUUUGAUUUUAGAGCCAUUCAAAUAAGGUACAGCCUAUUUGAAACAGGACACAACCUCGACUAAUGGGUAAAUUAAUGACUCUACACAAUCAAGUAGGCCCAAGAGCAGCCACCUUUAAAAUAGCGUCAAAGCUUUAUUGUGUUAACAUUUAAUUUCCGCAAUUCUCACUAACCCUUUAUUUGUAUUGAGUAAUUCUAUACCACUUAUAGAAUUUUUUAUGUUGAAACUAGUAACAAGAAGAAGACCUUCUCUUAAAUGCAAGUAUAAAUCAGUAAGGACAUACCACUGAUAAUUAACACCUGUGAACAAAAAGUAGCAACUCUACAAGAAAAUUCUACUUAUUUUUUAUGUUAAUCUAACACAAGAGCAUUACAAGAAAGAUUGAAAGAAAAAGAAGGAACUCGGCAAAUAUUAACCUCGCCUGUUUACCAAAAACAUCGCCUCUUGUAAAACAUAAGAGGUCCAGCCUGCCCAGUGACUCUGUUCAACGGCCGCGGUAUCCUAACCGUGCGAAGGUAGCGUAAUCACUUGUUCUUUAAAUGAGGACUAGUAUGAAUGGCACCACGAGGGUUAUACUGUCUCCUUUUUCCAAUCAGUGAAACUAAUCUCCUCGUGAAGAAGCGAGGAUAAAUUUAUAAGACGAGAAGACCCUAUGGAGCUUUAAACAAAAUAACAAUUGCUAACCUACUUUACCCUUCCAGAAGACUAAACUUUACCUUAGCACUCUGAUUAUUAGUUUUAGGUUGGGGUGACCGCGGAGUAAAAAUUAACCUCCACAUUGAAUGGAACUUUAUCCUAAACAAAAAGCUACAACUUUAUGUAUCAGUAAACUGACAUCAAUUGACCCAAUAUUUUGAUCAACGAACCAAGUUACCCUAGGGAUAACAGCGCAAUCCACUUCAAGAGCUCUUAUCGACAAGUGGGUUUACGACCUCGAUGUUGGAUCAGGGUACCCCAGUGGUGCAGCCGCUACUAAAGGUUCGUUUGUUCAACGAUUAAAACCCU